GCGCGAAUACACCUUCACAAUCAAAUUCACGCGAAACGGCACAUAAAAUAUCGCACUUUUUGCGAAAUUACCGUUUUGCCAACACCGACCUCUCCUCGAUCAACGUGGGAUCUCUGCAGAUCUGUCCGUAAGAUUUGCGAACGGAUUGCACGAGUGCGAUCAGCACCUCGAAGACAACAAAGCUACGAUUCACGAUCGACUACGGAUUCACGACAAAAUCCAAUCUUUCUUUCCAAUAGAAGGAAUAACACAUAAAUACAUAUAAAACAUGUAUUUUUGGAUUUUCUCAAAAUCCGUGCAUCAAACUCAAAAUCCAUCAGCGCCAGUAGUUCCAGAACAGCUGAACCGGUCGAAACGAGCUAUUGGAUCGCUAUGAACGGAGUCCGAUACGCGUAGAAAGCCAACUCUACUCCGUGGCUUCACCGAAAAACUGGAGUUACUAUUCACUUAAGUGAAAACUAAUAAUCGCGUAACUUCUCCGUUUUAGCUCAUUUUCUCCUGAAACUUGACGAGUGCUUAUAUAGUUAAAUUACACACAUAAACAUCAUCAACAGAGAGUUUAGUAGCACUGUAAAAAUCUCAGUCCUUACAGUACUCCUCCAUGUUGGGGGGCCCAGAAUCCCGGGGGCUUCUUCCUCAGCUCCCGUAGGCAUGCAUGCAUGUAUUGAACUAGGAUUCGAACUUGGGAUCUCGGGUAUCAACCAUCAGGUCCUUUGCCACUUGCUCUAGAGACUUUAUUAUUUAUAUUUACAGGAGGGAAAGAAAUAAUUGAAGUUAAUUAUUUG
RNAcentral lists this long non-coding RNA (785 nucleotides) under Ananas comosus (pineapple). RNAcentral's name for it is "long non-coding RNA (ACOM_LNC013089)". Lineage: Eukaryota; Viridiplantae; Streptophyta; Magnoliopsida; Poales; Bromeliaceae. The record is from RNAcentral.